UUUUGCGGUACUCUGACCGUGCAAAGGUAGCAUAAUCAUUUGCCUUAUAAUUGAAGGCUGGUAUGAAUGGUUUGACAAGAAUAUAGCUGUCUCUUUCUGAUUAAAUAGAAUUUUAUUUAUAGGUGAAGAAGCCUAUAUUUAAUUAAAAGACAAGAAGACCCUAUCGAGCUUGAGAUAAGUUAGUAAGUUGAAUAUAUUAAUAAUAUUAAAAAAUUAAUUGCUAAAAACUUUGGUUGGGGCGACUGAGGAACAAAUAAAGCUUCCUUUAAUUAAAACAAAUCACACAAAUAUUUGAUCCAGAAAUUUCUGAUUAAAGAAAUUAGUUACCGUAGGGAUAACAGCAUUAUCUUUUUUAAGAGUUCUUAUCGAAAAGAAGGUUUGUGACCUCGAUGUUGGACCAGAAUAUCCUAAAGGUGCAGCAGUCUUAA
This 428-nucleotide ribosomal RNA is filed under the name Cantharus melanostoma. RNAcentral's name for it is "partial 16S ribosomal RNA". It matches the Rfam family "Bacterial large subunit ribosomal RNA", at positions 1929 to 2567 of the family's 2925-position model. Lineage: Eukaryota; Metazoa; Mollusca; Gastropoda; Neogastropoda; Buccinidae. The record is from RNAcentral.